UUUUCAGCGUAAUGCAUGGAUUUUAGGGCUGAUUUUGAGUUUUCUUCGAUCGAUUUCAGGUUGGUUCGAUGAUCGCGAAGACGGAGGAGGUAUGUGAGCUGCUUCCUCCAGUAUUGCCUUGUGGUUUGAGGGUGGGAGCUGACGGAACCAAUCAGAGGGACGAGGAGGGUGAUCAUUUGCCCCUGUAUGCCAACGAGGUCCUUCGCAUGUUGAUUUCGAUCUGGAACGCAUUGAUCCAUCGAAAAUCCAAAUGCAUAUUGUUUUGAAUCCGAGGCCUAUAAUGACGUGCGCGUACAUAAUAAUCUCUCGGUCCUUCGCGACCCGGCGACGCAACCGGGAAUCCAAAGACGCGGAGGAGGAGGAAUAGAGAGCGCGAUGGGUCUGCAGGUAGAUUUUGAAGAAUAUGCUGCAAAAGCUAAAACUUUGCCUGUAAAUACUACUAACAAGAGCAAAUUGAUCCCGUAUGGGCUUUACUAGCAAGCAACUGUCGGACCAGUGAAUACUAGAAUGUGCUUCUUAAUAUAUUCUGAUUCGUGAUUUUCAUUCUUUGCCAAACAAAAUUUUGACACUUUUAUCUUUUGUCUCUUUGCAGGCUGACCUGGUAUAUUCAAUAUGAGGGAUAGAGCCAAAUGGGAAGCUUGGAAGGCUUUUAAAGGGGAGGAAGCCAAAGGAGGAGGCUAUGAGUGACUACCUCACCAAGGUUAAACAGCUGCUCGAGGCAGCUGCUACUGCUGCUUAUGCUACUUUGUCAAACCUUGCUCUAUGUAGUACCAUGGUGUCCUCGAUAUCGAAGUAAAGAUCAUGCUGGACUAGGAUCCUAAAAGAAAGCAGGGCACCAUUACUCCUUUGCCAGAUCAUUUUACAAUUCAUGCCCCAAAGGAGGAAGAGGAGUUACACUCCUGAAGAAUUUGAAUGCUACAACCUUUGUAGAAGGAAUUAGGAUUACAUUUCUUCUUCAUAAGCUUCCUUCCGGCAUGUAACAAGACAAAGUUCUUCUGAUUUAUGUGGCUGAACUAGUCGUAGAUUAACAUGAAGGAAGAUUGGGAGUCCUUAGACCCAUAUCUUAGUUUGUUCCAAUCUUCUCAGGAGUGUUAUUUGUUCUUAUCAUUUGUUUUGAAAACCGACGUGGUUACUCCCACAAAUUUUUACUGUUUUGUAGACUUGAUGUUAGUUAUUUGAAUUCGUAUGUAACACUUCCAAAGCUGGAAUAGUAGACUCAGAUUGGUUGUUUAAAUUCAUUCAAAAUUCUGAAUAUGUAAUUUAGAUAUAAUUUAACAAUUUUUUCGA
Long non-coding RNA from Musa acuminata AAA Group (dessert banana), 1287 nucleotides. RefSeq lists it as uncharacterized. The transcript is spliced from 4 exons. The record is from RefSeq and is a predicted model, not a curated record. NCBI's taxonomy places the organism in Eukaryota, Viridiplantae, Streptophyta, Magnoliopsida, Zingiberales, Musaceae.